Molecule: unclassified non-coding RNA, 234 nt
Filed under: uncultured fungus
Lineage: Eukaryota; Fungi
Description: sequence contains ITS2
Rfam family: 5.8S ribosomal RNA (bases 1-52)
Source: RNAcentral
AACGCACAUUGCGCCCUCUGGUAUUCCGGGGGGCAUGCCUGUUCGAGCGUCAUUACAACCCUCAAGCUCUGCUUGGUAUUGGGCGCCACGUUGUGGGUGUGCCUUAAAGCUAUUGGCGGUGCCGGCUGGCUUCAAGCGUAGUAAUACUUCUCGCUAUGGAGUUCGGUUGUGUGCUUGCUCAACUCAUCUUCAAAGGUUGACCUCGGAUCAGGUAGGGAUACCCGCUGAACUUAA